Molecule: long non-coding RNA, 411 nt
Filed under: Capsicum annuum
Lineage: Eukaryota; Viridiplantae; Streptophyta; Magnoliopsida; Solanales; Solanaceae
Description: long non-coding RNA (CANN_LNC019622)
Source: RNAcentral
AACACCCCUUACACAGGUCUCUCUCACCCUUACAUCGGUCCCUCCCACCCUUACAGUGGUCCCUCUCACCCCUCCUCACCCUCAUGUUCUCAUUGCAAAUACAAAGUGUGCAAGGACAGGUAGGAUAAACUCCUUGAAAAAUUAGAGGCUAUAUCUAAAGCUGUUGAGGAAUUGAAAUCCAAAAGGGGUGUCAUACCAUUCAAGAAGGUGAGAGAGCCAUACACUUCUACAGUGACGAUUAGAAGGAAGAAAAGAAAAAGUGCUCAAAUACUUUCCAGUCUGAAAAUAAAAAGAUUGCAACUCACCCCUCUCCAAAAGUUGUUGAAAUUCCGAGGCCACUAAAGAAGGUAGACAUAUAAGCAACACUUGGCAACCAAGAGAUGACGGAACUGCGAAAUGCCAAGUAUCCCA